This 83-nucleotide non-coding RNA is filed under the name uncultured Oliverpabstia sp. RNAcentral's name for it is "S10-Clostridia ribosomal protein leader". It matches the Rfam family "S10-Clostridia ribosomal protein leader". Lineage: Bacteria; Bacillati; Bacillota; Clostridia; Lachnospirales; Lachnospiraceae. The record is from RNAcentral.
UGAUAGCGAUGAAGCGUGAGGUUGCUGCAUGAAAAUUGCAGGUUUUCCGUGGAGCGAAUGUCAAGUUAAGAAACUGGCGACAA